UACGUAAGUGGCGAGCGUUAUCCGGAAUUACUGGGCGUAAAGUGUGUGUAGGCGGUUUAGUGUGUGGGAAUUGAAAGCCCGGGGCUCAACUCCGGAUCCGGUUCCCAAACUGCUAGACUCGAGAGUAUCAGAGGAGAGCGGAAUUCCCGGUGUAGCGGUGAAAUGACGCAGAUAUCGGGAAGAACACCCGUGGCGAAGGCGGCUCUCUGGGACGGUACUGACGCUGAGACGCGAAAGCGUGGGGAGCGAACGAGG
Molecule: ribosomal RNA, 255 nt
Filed under: uncultured bacterium
Lineage: Bacteria
Description: partial 16S ribosomal RNA
Rfam family: Bacterial small subunit ribosomal RNA
Source: RNAcentral